GUUGGUCCGAGAGUAGUGGUGUUUAC
This 26-nucleotide non-coding RNA is filed under the name Cricetulus griseus (Chinese hamster). RNAcentral also lists the same sequence under 1 other name. The record is from RNAcentral. Lineage: Eukaryota; Metazoa; Chordata; Mammalia; Rodentia; Cricetidae.